AGUGAACGCUGGCGGUAGGCCUAACACAUGCAAGUCGAACGGCAGCACAGUAAGAGCUUGCUCUUACGGGUGGCGAGUGGCGGACGGGUGAGGAAUACAUCGGAAUCUACUUUUUCGUGGGGGAUAACGUAGGGAGACUUACGCUAAUACCGCAUACGACCUACGGGUGAAGGCAGGGGAUCUUCGGACCUUGCGCGAUUGAAUGAGCCGAUGUCGGAUUAGCUAGUUGGCGGGGUAAAGGCCCACCAAGGCGACGAUCCGUAGCUGGUCUGAGAGGAUGAUCAGCCACACUGGAACUGAGACACGGUCCAGACUCCUACGGGAGGCAACAGUGGGGAAUAUUGGACAAUGGGCGCAAGCCUGAUCCAGCCAUACCGCGUGGGUGAAGAAGGCCUUCGGGUUGUAAAGCCCUUUUGUUGGGAAAGAAAAGCAGCAGGUUAAUACCCCGCUGUUCUGACGGUACCCAAAGAAUAAGCACCGGCUAACUUCGUG
Molecule: ribosomal RNA, 492 nt
Filed under: uncultured bacterium
Lineage: Bacteria
Description: partial 16S ribosomal RNA
Rfam family: Bacterial small subunit ribosomal RNA
Source: RNAcentral